CGAACGCCCGCGCAAGGGGAGUGGCAGACGGGUGAGUAACGCGUGGGCAACAUACCCUUUCCUGCGGAAUANCUCCGGGAAAACGUGGUAAUUAAUACCAUCAUACGCUCACUACGGGGAAAAAAUAUUUAUCGGAAGGAUUGGUNCGCGUUGGAUUAGCUAGUUGGUGGGGUAAAGGCCUACCAAGGCUACGAUCCAUAGCUGGGUCUGAGAGGAUGAUUAGUCACAUUGGGACUGACACACCGGCCCAAAGUCAUACGGGAGGCAGCAGUGGGGAAUAUUUGGUCUAUGGGCNCAAGCCUGAUCCACANUGACGGGUGANUGAUAAGGUGCCUUACGGGG
This 342-nucleotide ribosomal RNA is filed under the name Agrobacterium sp. SE2. RNAcentral's name for it is "bacterial SSU rRNA". It matches the Rfam family "Bacterial small subunit ribosomal RNA", at positions 63 to 423 of the family's 1533-position model. Lineage: Bacteria; Pseudomonadati; Pseudomonadota; Alphaproteobacteria; Hyphomicrobiales; Rhizobiaceae. The record is from RNAcentral.